AUGAACUCUUCUAAGGUAAUCUCGUUAGAGCACCUCUCAUUGCCUAACAAUAGGUUAGAAGGAGCUCUUGAUGGCAUCAGCAAGCUCACAAAUCUGGUCACCCUUGAUCUUGGGGGGAAUGAGCUCAGCGGCAAUAUUCCAGAGUCUAUAGGUGAUGUGAAGAGAUUGGAGGAGCUGCAUUUGGAACACAACAACAUGUCAGGGGAGCUGCCAGCAGCUCUAAGCAACUGCACAAAUCUUGUAACAAUUGACCUCCAGGCAAACCAAUUUAGCGUAGAACUUACCAAGGUCAACUUCGUAAGUCUGUCCAAUCUAAAAAAACUAGAUCUUCUUUCCAAUAACUUCACCGGCACAGUUCCAGAAAGCAUAUACUCCUGCAGCAAGCUGACUGCACUACGGCUAUCUUACAAUCCUUUCCAUGGUCAAUUGUCAGAAGAAAUAGGCAAUCUGAAGUCCCUGUCAUUCCUAUCACUUGCUAAUAACUCUCUUACAAAUAUCACAAGAACAAUUCGGAUCCUAAGCAGUUCCAGGAGCCUCACCACCCUUUAUCUUGGGUUCAACUUCCUGCAUGAGACCAUGCCAGAGGAUGUCAACAUUGAUGGUUUCAAGAAUCUCCAGGUUCUUUAUAUAAAUCAUUGUUCAUUGUCUGGAAAAAUACCUGAUUGGUUAUCGAAGCUACCGAAUUUGGGGAUGCUAUUUUUGCAAGGCAAUAAACUAACUGGGCCCAUACCUGAAUGGAUCAGCAGCCUAAAAUUUCUCUUCUCUCUAGAUAUAUCAAACAACAGCCUUACAGGGGAAAUUCCAAGUGCUUUAAUGGAGAUGCCAAUGCUAGAAUCAGAUAGUACUGCACCAAAGGUAUUCUUUGAGCUGCCUGUUUGGAACAAGAACCAAUUUCUGCAAUACCUCACGCCUAGUGCUUUUCCUAAAGAGCUUAAUCUAGCCAUGAAUAAUUUCACUGGUAUGAUUCCGGAGGAGAUCGGUCAGUUACAAGGACUAUUUUCACUUAACUUGAGCUCCAACAGAUUAUCUGGAGAGAUACCAGAACAGAUCUGCAACCUCACGAACCUGCAGAUGCUCGACUUGUCCGGUAAUCAUCUCACUGGUAAGAUUCCAGCUGCAUUGAACAAUCUGCACUUCCUUUCCAGAUUCAACAUUUCUAAUAAUGACCUGGAAGGCACUAUUCCAAACGCGGGCCAGUUUAGCACAUUUCCGGAUUCUAGCUUUGGUGGAAACCCCAAACUGUGUGGCUCUAUGGUUGCAAACCAUUGUGGUUCGGCAAAAGCAAGUUCAGUUUCCAUUGACCCCAUAAAACAGAUUGGUAGUGAGGCCAUCAUCUUUAUGACCGCCUUCUGUGUUUUCUUUGUAGUAGGAGUCCUAUAUGAUCAGAAAGUCUUAGCUAGACAUUUUGGCUAA
Molecule: ribosomal RNA, 1413 nt
Filed under: Triticum aestivum (bread wheat)
Lineage: Eukaryota; Viridiplantae; Streptophyta; Magnoliopsida; Poales; Poaceae
Description: partial small subunit ribosomal RNA
Source: RNAcentral